This 509-nucleotide unclassified non-coding RNA is filed under the name Hevea brasiliensis (rubber tree). Lineage: Eukaryota; Viridiplantae; Streptophyta; Magnoliopsida; Malpighiales; Euphorbiaceae. The record is from RNAcentral.
CCGAAGAAGGGGAAAAGAAGUGUGCCACAAGAUGCACAAUUUUUUUACCACAAAAUGUAAUCUAUAACAAUAAGCUACCUUACCCACUAAAACAAGAUUCAAAAAGAAUGACGAAAGAAAAAAAAAAUUACAAACACCCAUCAUCCUGUCAUCAGAACUAGUUUUUUGUACGUCUUUUUUCAGACAUAAGUGUCACCUGCACGUAAUGCCCGUUAAAAAAUAAUUUGAUCUUAUGAUCCGCAGCAAGCUGAUUUUUGGGCAGCUUCACCAGCCCCCCCUGCCUGGCCUGGUUGAUUAAUCUUAAUUGUUGUUGGCUCAGCCCUCGAGUCCAUAUCAGCAAGCCUUUGCUUUAUAUCCCUUGCUAUUGAAAAGAAAACUUCCUCGACAUUUAGAUUUGUCUUCGCACUAGUUUCAAAGAACUUGAUACCGUACUCAUCAGCAAGUGCUUGGCCCUUAGAUGUGGGGACAGCCCUUUUGCUUUCAUCCAUGUCAGCCUUGUUCCCCACCAA